GAUGAACGCUGGCGGCGUGCUUAACACAUGCAAGUCGAACGAUGACCUCCAGCUUGCUGGGGUGAUUAGUGGCGAACGGGUGAGUAACACGUGAGUAACCUGCCCUUAACUCUGGGAUAA
RNAcentral lists this ribosomal RNA (120 nucleotides) under uncultured bacterium. RNAcentral's name for it is "partial 16S ribosomal RNA". It matches the Rfam family "Bacterial small subunit ribosomal RNA", at positions 28 to 146 of the family's 1533-position model. The record is from RNAcentral.